RNAcentral lists this long non-coding RNA (618 nucleotides) under Homo sapiens (human). RNAcentral describes it as "HSALNT0369993". Lineage: Eukaryota; Metazoa; Chordata; Mammalia; Primates; Hominidae. The record is from RNAcentral.
UUUGCCAAUAGUUUGUAAUGGUGAUCAAACAUGGCAAGAACAACUGGUAUCUCAGGAAUCACAUAAAUUUCAAUCCUUAUGUGAUAUAGACAGGAGGCCCAGGUGGUGAAGGGCAAUGAAAGAAGCUGAGAAGACCAGGCAUGUGAGUAUGUGUAAGUAUGUGCAAGAGCCGUGGCCUAUCCCCAUUCAUUCAUUCACGAAGCUGAGAGGAGGAGGAAGUGCUGCUGUAUCUUUGGCACACAGUUUCAGCUGAUGACAACCAGUUUGAAGACCCCCAAAAGAAGAACCAAACUGCAUGAGAAUUCAGUUUCUUCAUCUCCCUACCCCAUGAUUUCACCUUGUUCUCUCUGACCAAUAACCAUCUCCCCACUUUGGCCCUCUCCAAAACCCUUAAAAAUUCUAAGCCCAAACUCCCCAGGGAGACAGAUUUGAGGUUUCCUCCCAUCUCCUCAUUCAAUGGCUCUGCAAUUAAACCUGUUUCUCUGCCGCAGCCUGGUAUCUCAGCAUAUUGACUUGCCACGUGCAUCAAGCAACAAACCUUUUACUGUUAUACUACUCAAAAUAUGCCUCUUUGGAAUGAGGACUAUUUUGAGCUGGUUAUUUAGAGAAACUGCAGAC